RNAcentral lists this ribosomal RNA (785 nucleotides) under uncultured bacterium. RNAcentral's name for it is "bacterial SSU rRNA". It matches the Rfam family "Bacterial small subunit ribosomal RNA", at positions 60 to 818 of the family's 1533-position model. The record is from RNAcentral.
AGUUCUCGUUGAUAAUCGGUGCUUGCACCGAGAUUCAACAUGGAACGAGUGGCGGACGGGUGAGUAACACGUGGGUAACCUGCCCUUAAGUGGGGGAUAACAUUUGGAAACAGAUGCUAAUACCGCAUAGAUCCAAGAACCGCAUGGUUCUUGGCUGAAAGAUGGCGUAAGCUAUCGCUUUUGGAUGGACCCGCGGCGUAUUAGCUAGUUGGUGAGGUAAUGGCUCACCAAGGCGAUGAUACGUAGCCGAACUGAGAGGUUGAUCGGCCACAUUGGGACUGAGGCACGGCCCAAACUCCUACGGGAGGCAGCAGUAGGGAAUCUUCCACAAUGGACGCAAGUCUGAUGGAGCAACGCCGCGUGAGUGAAGAAGGCUUUCGGGUCGUAAAACUCUGUUGUUGGAGAAGAAUGGUCGGCAGAGUAACUGUUGUCGGCGUGACGGUAUCCAACCAGAAAGCCACGGCUAACUACGUGCCAGCAGCCGCGGUAAUACGUAGGUGGCAAGCGUUAUCCGGAUUUAUUGGGCGUAAAGCGAGCGCAGGCGGUUUUUUAAGUCUGAUGUGAAAGCCCUCGGCUUAACCGAGGAAGCGCAUCGGAAACUGGGAAACUUGAGUGCAGAAGAGGACAGUGGAACUCCAUGUGUAGCGGUGAAAUGCGUAGAUAUAUGGAAGAACACCAGUGGCGAAGGCGGCUGUCUGGUCUGUAACUGACGCUGAGGCUCGAAAGCAUGGGUAGCGAACAGGAUUAGAUACCCUGGUAGUCCAUGCCGUAAACGAUGAGUGCUA